GGGUUGCUGUGGGAUGCGUUAAGCGUGCAUUUCCCUGGGGCCGAUAAGAUCCUUAAGGGAGCCGUUUCUGCCAUAACCCGUGGGUUAGGCAUAUGGCGCCCACCUGCAUACGCGGGCCACACGAGGACAAAUAUCGCUGACGGUCAUUGCGGCACCCUC
RNAcentral lists this non-coding RNA (159 nucleotides) under Alphaproteobacteria bacterium 41-28. RNAcentral describes it as "6S RNA". It matches the Rfam family "6S / SsrS RNA". From Rfam's summary of the family: E. coli 6S RNA was the first non coding RNA to be sequenced, but its function was unknown until recently. It consists of 184 nucleotides that fold into an extended hairpin structure with a large single-stranded internal bulge. The record is from RNAcentral. Lineage: Bacteria; Pseudomonadati; Pseudomonadota; Alphaproteobacteria.